This 1144-nucleotide long non-coding RNA is filed under the name Callithrix jacchus (white-tufted-ear marmoset). RNAcentral describes it as "lncRNA (ENSCJAG00000073333.1)". Lineage: Eukaryota; Metazoa; Chordata; Mammalia; Primates; Cebidae. The record is from RNAcentral.
CUUCAUUUUCAAUUCCCUGAAAGCUCCUAUCACAAUGUUGGGUUCAUGGGUUUCUGUUGAAUUGAUUUAAUGGUUUGGGAAAAAGCCCAGAUAACUCUCUGGUGACAUAUCCAAGAAUUCUGGAUUAAUAUCAAUAGUACUUUCUAUUAAAAAUGCAUUCAGGCUACCUGCUGUCUAAAAUAACCUACAUUCCCUUUUUGGAACUGACUAGCCUUUAAAGACUUGACGCAAGUAAGCUUUAGAAGGGUUUAUCAAUAAACACUUAUAUAUGGAUUAAUCGAUUGAUGUACAGUCUCCGCAGUGUAUCUUUAAUAUCGACCUAUUGUGUUGCUUAAAGCCAACUCAUCAAAAAAUUGUUUUGUUUCAUUUUGAGAUUUGAUCCUUGCCUGAUCAAUGGCUGAGAUUUCAUCUUGGAAUUUUAGGCUCCUGGACAUCAAUGAAUAAUCUAACAAUAUUGGGAAGAAACAAGCGUGAGGAACGUGGCCCAAAAGUUGAGCGUAAGACUCACAGUCAACCUGCCUAUCUCCAAGUCUAAAUGUGCAAUUCACCAUCAGAUUAUGAGAACACAGAGCUGACAGAAAUUUCCCAUGCCUUCCAUAAAGCGAUUUUGACCUCUCUACUUCAAGAUAUUUGCUUUCCCUCUGAACUCAUAAGCUUUAUCAGUAGACUCGUCAAUUUGAUAGCUAUUAUAUAUGUAAAAACAAAAAGAGAAAAGAAAAGAACAAUAAAUUUUAAACAUCUACUAAGUUUUGGAUGUAAUGCUGUACUGUAUAGAUCGACAUCUCAUAGGUUAUGAAAACAUUUUUUUUCUCAUUAAUGUCUCUGAAACUGGGAUGCUUUGCACAAUCAACUGUGUCUGACAAUUGCUAUUGACCAGCCAGUAGUCAUGACAUAACUAUGUCAUUAUUCACUUAAUAUUUUGGUGGACUAUCAGGAAAACUCCAAUCCCUUGACAUUUAAUACAGUCAACACUUAAGGACCAUUUGAAGAAAGAAUGGAAGUUCUGAGUGCUGGAAACCUUUUGUUUUGUUUUUUUGAGACAGAGUCUUGCUCUGUCACCCAGGCUGGAGUGCAAUGGUGCGUCCUCGGCUCACUGCAACCUCCACCUUUCAGGUUCAAGAAAUUCCCUGCCUCAGCCUCCCAA